This 1986-nucleotide ribosomal RNA is filed under the name Streptococcus equinus JB1. RNAcentral describes it as "bacterial LSU rRNA". It matches the Rfam family "Bacterial large subunit ribosomal RNA", at positions 923 to 2925 of the family's 2925-position model. Lineage: Bacteria; Bacillati; Bacillota; Bacilli; Lactobacillales; Streptococcaceae. The record is from RNAcentral.
GGGUCCAUCCCGGAUUACCAAUAUCAGAUAAACUCCGAAUGCCAAUGAGAUAUAAUCGGCAGUCAGACUGCGAGUGCUAAGAUCCGUAGUCGAAAGGGAAACAGCCCAGACCACCAGCUAAGGUCCCAAAAUAUAUGUUAAGUGGAAAAGGAUGUGGGGUUGCACAGACAACUAGGAUGUUAGCUUAGAAGCAGCUAUUCAUUCAAAGAGUGCGUAAUAGCUCACUAGUCGAGUGACCCUGCGCCGAAAAUGUACCGGGGCUAAAACAUAUUACCGAAGCUGUGGAUACCUUUUAGGUAUGGUAGGAGAGCGUUCUAUGUGUGAAGAAGGUGUACCGUGAGGAGCGCUGGAACGCAUAGAAGUGAGAAUGCCGGUAUGAGUAGCGAAAGACAGGUGAGAAUCCUGUCCACCGUAUGACUAAGGUUUCCAGGGGAAGGCUCGUCCUCCCUGGGUUAGUCGGGACCUAAGGAGAGACCGAAAGGUGUAUCCGAUGGACAACAGGUUGAUAUUCCUGUACUAGAGUAUAUAGUGAUGGAGGGACGCAGUAGGCUAACUAAAGCGUGCGAUUGGAAGUGCACGUCUAAGCAGUGAGGUGUGAUAUGAGUCAAAUGCUUAUAUCUCUAACAUUGAGCUGUGAUGGGGAGCGAAGUUAAGUAGCGAAGUUAGUGAUGUCACACUGCCAAGAAAAGCUUCUAGCGUUAAUUAUACUCUACCCGUACCGCAAACCGACACAGGUAGUCGAGGCGAGUAGCCUCAGGUGAGCGAGAGAACUCUCGUUAAGGAACUCGGCAAAAUGGCCCCGUAACUUCGGGAGAAGGGGCGCUGGCUUUAAGUCAGCCGCAGUGAAUAGGCCCAAGCAACUGUUUAUCAAAAACACAGCUCUCUGCUAAAUCGUAAGAUGAUGUAUAGGGGGUGACGCCUGCCCGGUGCUGGAAGGUUAAGAGGAGCGCUUAGCAUUAGCGAAGGUGUGAAUUGAAGCCCCAGUAAACGGCGGCCGUAACUAUAACGGUCCUAAGGUAGCGAAAUUCCUUGUCGGGUAAGUUCCGACCCGCACGAAAGGCGUAAUGAUUUGGGCACUGUCUCAACGAGAGACUCGGUGAAAUUUUAGUACCUGUGAAGAUGCAGGUUACCCGCGACAGGACGGAAAGACCCCAUGGAGCUUUACUGCAGUUUGAUAUUGAGUAUCUGUACCACAUGUACAGGAUAGGUAGGAGCCUAUGAAAUCGGGACGCUAGUUUCGGUGGAGGCGUUGUUGGGAUACUACCCUUGUGUUAUGGCUACUCUAACCUAGAUAGGUUAUCCCUAUCGGAGACAGUGUCUGACGGGCAGUUUGACUGGGGCGGUCGCCUCCUAAAAGGUAACGGAGGCGCCCAAAGGUUCCCUCAGAAUGGUUGGAAAUCAUUCGCAGAGUGUAAAGGUAUAAGGGAGCUUGACUGCGAGAGCUACAACUCGAGCAGGGACGAAAGUCGGGCUUAGUGAUCCGGUGGUUCCGCAUGGAAGGGCCAUCGCUCAACGGAUAAAAGCUACCCUGGGGAUAACAGGCUUAUCUCCCCCAAGAGUUCACAUCGACGGGGAGGUUUGGCACCUCGAUGUCGGCUCGUCGCAUCCUGGGGCUGUAGUCGGUCCCAAGGGUUGGGCUGUUCGCCCAUUAAAGCGGCACGCGAGCUGGGUUCAGAACGUCGUGAGACAGUUCGGUCCCUAUCCGUCGCGGGCGUAGGAAAUUUGAGAGGAUCUGCUCCUAGUACGAGAGGACCAGAGUGGACUUACCGCUGGUGUACCAGUUGUCUUGCCAAAGGCAUCGCUGGGUAGCUAUGUAGGGAAGGGAUAAACGCUGAAAGCAUCUAAGUGUGAAGCCCACCUCAAGAUGAGAUUUCCCAUGAUUUUAUAUCAGUAAGAGCCCUGAGAGAUGAUCAGGUAGAUAGGUUAGAAGUGUAAGUGUGGUGACACAUGUAGCGGACUAAUACUAAUAGCUCGAGGACUUAUCCA